This is a long non-coding RNA of Gasterosteus aculeatus aculeatus (three-spined stickleback), 3111 nucleotides long. NCBI's taxonomy places the organism in Eukaryota, Metazoa, Chordata, Actinopteri, Perciformes, Gasterosteidae. The record is from Ensembl.
GCAAAUCUCCUCGACCGGGACCUGGCCAUCAAGAUGGGGAUUGAGCAAGUAGCUUUGGAAAGACCCAUCCGGGCCACGGCGUUGGACGGUCGGCUACUCUGCAGGGUUACCCAUCAAACCACCCCUCUGCGCUUGGAGAUGUCAGAUCUCACUGGCGUACCGGAGGAUUACCACGACGUGAGGGAGGUGUUCAACAAGGCUCGGGCCACCUCACUACCACCUCACCGCCCGUACGAUUGUGCUAUAGACCUCCUUCCGGGACCUCGCCCCCAAGAGGGCGACUAUUCUCUCUGUCGGCCCCUGAGACUAGGACUAUGGAGAAGUACAUCAGCGACUCCUUGGCUUCCGGCCUCAUUAGACCGUCGUCAACCCCGGCCGGCGCUGGGGUUUUUUUGUGAGCAAGAAGGACGGAUCCCUGCGACCCAGGAUUGAUUACAGAGGACUCAAUAACAUCACCAUCAAAAACAGGUACCCACUUCCGCCCAUCUCAUCUGCUUUUGAGUUGCUACAAGGGGCUACGGUAUUUUCUAAACUGGAUCUACUUAACGCGUACCAUUUGGUCAGAAUCAGAGAGGGGGAUGAGUGGAAGACGGCCUUCAACACUCCCAGUGGACAUUAUGAAUAUUUGGUCAUGCCAUUUGGGCUCACUAAUGCCCCAGCUGUUUUCCAGGUGCUGGUAAAUGACGUUCUCCACGAUCUGCUCAAUGUCUGUGUUUUUGUUUAUCUGGACGACAUUUUGAAGUCUACACACGCACGUGAUCCAUGUAUGGCAAGUCCUCAAGAGACUCCUUGAGAAUCACCUCUUCGUUAAGGCCGAAAAGUGCAGUUUCCACACCUCAGAAGUAUCUUUUCUGGGCUUCGUCAUCAAGGCCGGCAAUAUUCAGAUGGACCCUGCUAAGACCAGGGCCGUGGCCGACUGGCCCCAACCCUACACCCGCAAAGAACUGCAGCUUUUUGGGCUUCGCCAAUUUCUAUCGGCGGUUCAUUCGGAACUACAGUUCUGUGGCCGCUCCUCUCACCGCUCUAACCUCCCCACAAGUGCCCUUUCAGUGGACCUCGGCAGCGGCCAGGGCAUUCGGGGAAUUGAAGACACGAUUUACCUCUGCCCCUAUUCUUGUUUUCCCAGACCCUGCUCGGCAGUUUGUGGUGGAGGUGGAUGCGUCAGACACCGGCGUAGGAGCGGUUCUCUCGCAGCGGUCGUCUACAGAUCAGAAGGUUCACCCAUGCUAAAGCUUGCACUGGAGGAGUGGAGACACUGGCUGGAGGGAGCUGACCAGCCGUUUAUGGUGUGGACUGACCACAAAAACUUAGAGUACAUUCGCUCUGCCAAGCGGUUGAACUCCAGACAGGCAAGGUGGGCCCUAUUUUUUUACCGUUUUGAGUUUACUCUAUCCUACUUCCCGGGCACGAAGAAUGUCAAACCUGAUGCCCUGUCCCGUCAGUACCAGUCCAGGAGCUGCGUUCAGAGUCCGGAGAACAUUCUCUCUCCUGAAUGUGUUGUUGGGGCGGUGACCUGGGAGGUGGAAGAGGAAGUAAAACGGUCCCAUACAGCGCAACCGGCGCCGAGUGCCUGUCCAGAUAACCUUCUGUUUGUCCCAGCGAAUCUGCGUUCGAAGGUCCUGCAGUGGGGUCACUCUUCCCGCCUGGCUUGUCACCCGGGGGUGAUCCGCACGCUAGCUCUGCUUAAACAACGGUUUUGGUGGCCGACUAUGGAGAAGGACGCAAGAGAAUUCGUCGGUGCCUGCAUGAUCUGCGCUCAGCAUAAGGGCUCUCGCAAGGCUCCAUCCGGCCUCCUACAUCCCCUGCCCAUCCCUCAUCGUCCCUAGUCCCACAUUGCUUUGGAUUUUGUAAACGGUCUACCCCCAUCUGAAGGUAACAGUUAUUCUAACGGUAAUUGAUCGCUUCUCCAAGUCUGCUCAACUCAUUCCACUACCUAAGCUGCCUUCUGCUAAAGAGACAGCAGAAUUACUAUUACAGAGAGUGUUCCGCCUGCAUGGUCUGCCCGUCGAGGUGGUCUGCGGAUUACCUGCCUGCCCAUCUGGAAUUGUUUGCCUCCCGACGAAUCUCCCGGUUUUGGACCCAGCCUGAACUUUCAUUAAAACCCCUCUGUCUUGUCCAUCGUGUCCGAGUCGUGCGUUUGGGUUCUCCUGUACUCCGGUACCAGUAACCGUGACAAUUUUAAGCACUUCCUAGACGCUGUACUUUGACGAACUCCUCUCUGGGACAGCCUUUUCAAAUUUGGACAAAACGGUCCCACAGUGAUUAAGUAAAAACUGUUUUUGUGUUACGCUGUUGCCAUGACAACUGGUUAUUCAUAUUCGAAAUGAAGAUGCUUAUGAGGGACUAAAUAUGUUCUAAUCUUUACUAAACUUGAAAAACACAUUAACAGUUAUAGAUGUAGUUACUUCAUAUGAUUUUAAUACUUCCAGACGGCAUUUUGGCUCGAUAGCGCCCCCUACACGUCUUCAUAAAGCAGCCCCAGCAACUGCUGGGAUCUAGGUGCACUCACCAGAAGGCAUCAGCUUUGAUCCAGCUGUACAGAUAUCUCUUCCUUAUCAGCAGAGUGGGCUUGAGAAUAAUUAAUCAAGUUGGUCAAGUUGUUUGUGACUGACAUGAGUGGACAUGUUUACAUACAGGUGUUCCGCAGAGACACAUUCAAUGUGUUCAGUUUGCAAAAUAUAUCUGCCAGACUUCACAAGUUAAUACUUGAGAUUAGCUCAUAUUCUUUGCCUCAACUGAAUGGAGGUGAUCCUACAUAUUUAUUUACCUUUUGCAGGUCUUUGUACAACAAGGCAAGUAGCCAAGUGGUGAGAUAUUCUGUUUACAAAGCCAGACUUCGAAUCCCACACCAGGCACUGAUUUUCUUGUCUUUUUUUUGUCUUUUUGACGGCAUGUCCGGCUGACCGCUGACCCCCCCCCCCGACAUGCAAGGGGAGGCGAAGGCCCGUUCAUCGCUGCUUGCAGCUUUAAUUUCACUUUAACUAUUGCUUCUGCUAGUUAUAAAAUUCUUUAAAAAUGUUAAACUCCAGCCAGUUGACUUUUUAUGACUUCUCUUCACAGAAUGGUUUGUAAUAUUUAACAGAUUUCGUUUUCCAUGAAAUUUUAAUCAAG